UAGUAGAUGCACCCUGAUGGCUUUCCCGCUCCAAUGGAGCGGGAAUUUUAUUU
This 53-nucleotide small RNA is filed under the name Oscillatoriales cyanobacterium USR001. RNAcentral describes it as "Nitrogen stress-induced RNA 1". It matches the Rfam family "Nitrogen stress-induced RNA 1". Lineage: Bacteria; Bacillati; Cyanobacteriota; Cyanophyceae; Oscillatoriales. The record is from Rfam by way of RNAcentral.